AGUGACCGGGAAGAGCUCAAAUUUGAAAUCUGGCGUCCUCAGGGCGUCCGAGUUGUAAUCUAUAGAAACGUUUUCCGUGCUGGACCGUGUCCAAGUCCCUUGGAACAGGGUAUCAAAGAGGGUGACAAUCCCGUACUUGACACGACCACCAGUGCUCUGUGAUACGUUUUCUACGAGUCGAGUUGUUUGGGAAUGCAGCUCUAAAUGGGUGGUAUACUCCAUCUAAAGCUAAAUAUUGGUGGAAGACCGAUAGCGAACAAGUACCGUGAGGGAAAGAUGAAAAGCACUUUGGAAAGAGAGUUAAACAGUAUGUGAAAUUGUUGAAAGGGAAACGAUUGAAGUCAGUCGUGUCUAUUGAGUUCAGCCAGUUCUGCUGGUGUAUUCUCUUUAGACGGGUCAACAUCAGUUCUGAUCGGUGGAUAAAGGCAGGAGGAACGUAGCUCUCUUCGGGGAGUGUUAUAGCCUCUUGUCGCAUACACUGGUUGGGACUGAGGAAUGCAGCUCGCCUUUAUGGCCGGGGUUCGCCCACGUUCGAGCUUAGGAUGUUGACAUAAUGGCUUUAAACGACCCGUCUUG
Molecule: ribosomal RNA, 576 nt
Filed under: Cryptococcus sp. (in: basidiomycete fungi)
Lineage: Eukaryota; Fungi; Basidiomycota; Tremellomycetes; Tremellales; Cryptococcaceae
Description: Cryptococcus sp. (in: Fungi) partial large subunit ribosomal RNA
Rfam family: Eukaryotic large subunit ribosomal RNA
Source: RNAcentral